RNAcentral lists this ribosomal RNA (497 nucleotides) under uncultured bacterium. Its description in RNAcentral is "partial 16S ribosomal RNA". It matches the Rfam family "Bacterial small subunit ribosomal RNA", at positions 28 to 507 of the family's 1533-position model. The record is from RNAcentral.
GAUGAACGCUGGCGGCGUGCCUAAUACAUGCAAGUCGAGCGAACAGACGAGGAGCUUGCUCCUCUGACGUUAGCGGCGGACGGGUGAGUAACACGUGGAUAACCUACCUAUAAGACUGGGAUAACUUCGGGAAACCGGAGCUAAUACCGGAUAAUAUAUUGAACCGCAUGGUUCAAUAGUGAAAGACGGUUUUGCUGUCACUUAUAGAUGGAUCCGCGCCGCAUUAGCUAGUUGGUAAGGUAACGGCUUACCAAGGCAACGAUGCGUAGCCGACCUGAGAGAGUGAUCGGCCACACGGGAACUGAGACACGGUCCAGACUCCUGCGGGAGGCAGCAGUAGGGAAUCUUCCGCAAUGGGCGAAAGCUUGACGGAGCAACGCCGCGUGAGUGAUGAAGGUCUUCGGAUCGUAAAACUCUGUUAUUAGGGAAGAACAAAUGUGUAAGUAACUAUGCACGUCUUGACGGUACCUAAUCAGAAAGCCACGGCUAACUACGUG